CUGCUUCUCUUCUUCUCCUCUUCUUCCCUUCUCCUCCCCGACGCCCCACACAUGAACUCCUCUGUUUGCUCCUACACGAAACAGAGGUGCUGCAGCCCUAGCUACUGCUGCUCUCUCUCUUACCUCUCCCUUUUCCCUCUCUUCUUCUUCUUCUUUUCUUCUCUUCUCCCUCUUCUUCCUCUCUUCUUUUCCCUCUUCUUCUUCUUCUCUUCUUCUCCUCUUCCCUUUUCCUCCCCAACGCCACACACCUCCUCGCUGCAACCUUCCCGCAGCUAUCCUCCUCUCUUCUUCUUCUUCUUCUUCUUCUCUGCUCCCUCUUCUUCCUC
RNAcentral lists this long non-coding RNA (326 nucleotides) under Musa acuminata (dwarf banana). RNAcentral describes it as "long non-coding RNA (MACU_LNC011386)". The record is from RNAcentral. Lineage: Eukaryota; Viridiplantae; Streptophyta; Magnoliopsida; Zingiberales; Musaceae.